GACGAACGCUGGCGGCGUGCCUAAUACAUGCAAGUCGAACGCACUCUCGUUUAGAUUGAAGGAGCUUGCUCCUGAUUGAUAAACAUUUGAGUGAGUGGCGGACGGGUGAGUAACACGUGGGUAACCUGCCCUAAAGUGGGGGAUAACAUUUGGAAACAGAUGCUAAUACCGCAUAAAACCUAACACCGCAUGGUGUAGGGUUGAAAGAUGGUUUCGGCUAUCACUUUAGGAUGGACCCGCGGUGCAUUAGUUAGUUGGUGAGGUAAAGGCUCACCAAGACCGUGAUGCAUAGCCGACCUGAGAGGGUAAUCGGCCACACUGGGACUGAGACACGGCCCAGACUCCUACGGGAGGCAGCAGUAGGGAAUCUUCCACAAAGGACGAAAGUCUGAUGGAGCAACGCCGCGUGAGUGAAGAAGGUUUCGGAUCGUAAAACUCUGUUGUUGGAGAAGAAUGUAUCUGAUAGUAACUGAUCAGGUAGUGACGGUAUCCAACCAGAAAGCC
RNAcentral lists this ribosomal RNA (504 nucleotides) under uncultured bacterium. RNAcentral describes it as "bacterial SSU rRNA". It matches the Rfam family "Bacterial small subunit ribosomal RNA", at positions 28 to 492 of the family's 1533-position model. The record is from RNAcentral.